Molecule: RNA transcript, 1970 nt
Organism: Amborella trichopoda
Lineage: Eukaryota; Viridiplantae; Streptophyta; Magnoliopsida; Amborellales; Amborellaceae
Gene name: transthyretin-like protein
Source: RefSeq, a predicted model, not a curated record
ACUUCUGUGAACAAAGAGCGCCAAAAUCGUACUCGAGAGGAUCCGUUUCGGUAAAUUUCGCUCUCGAUAAAUUUCAGAAAAAUUUCGGAUUCGGUAAAUUUCAGUGACUUAAGACACAAGGUGCAGUGCCCUGUGACCUGAAUCUAGCACCAUUGUAGCUCCAUAUUUUUUUGGAUGUUUUGAUUCUUUUUUCUUCUCUGGAGAAACCCUAGAAUUAUCGCGAUGGAGUUAGGGUUUGGGGAGAGGGAUUUCACGGCUUGUUGCGGUAGCAAGAAAUUUGCAGAGGAGAUGAGCAGAGCCGGGCCCUUCACCUCUCUUGAGCAGGCAUUAGAAGCAUCAAGAGACAUCUGGUUUAACAAGGUUGAUAUAAAUGGCUGGCUUGAAGCUUUUGCUGCUCACCCACAAAUUGGAGAAACCCCAUCUGUUAAUGAGAAAAAUGAGACAAGUGCAAAGUGGAGCAAAGGAGAGCAAUCAAUAGCUCUUGCGACUGCUAGUAAUUGUAGUUUGCAGGAACUCUCUGAAUGGAAUUCCUGGUAUAAGCAAAAGUUUGGAUUUGUUUUCCUUACAUGUGCAUCUGGGAAGAGCUCAGCUGAAAUACUUGGAGAAUUGAAGAAACGCUUCUCAAAUAGGCUCAUUGUUGAACUUGAGAUUGCUGCUCAGGAGCAGAUGAAAAUAACAGAGUUGCGCCUUGUAAAGCUCUUUGAUGCCAGAGAUUCAAGAACUCCUCAUGCCAUUAACCAGCCUCCUACUGGCUCCAUGUUGAAACAAGAUUUUCGGGUUGUUGCAGAUGAGCGUAUCGGGAGAAUUGGAGCACAUUUAAGCCUUAGCACUGAUAAAACAUUAGCAGUGCCAUCAAGAACCCGUCCGCCCAUUACCACACAUGUUUUAGAUGUUUCAGUUGGGCGACCAGGAGUUGGCAUUGAGGUGAGUCUUGAGAAGUGGGAAGGAAGUGGGUCGCUAGGGUUUUCCAAUGCACAAAAUGUUGAUGGUUGGUCACUGUUGGGUGCAUCAGUCACUGACUCAGAUGGCCGGAGUGGGCGGCUGUUGCCGGUAGUGGACCGUGUGCCUAAUGGGUAUUAUCGGAUAAGUUUUAAUACUGGCAAGUAUUUGAAGGCGGGGUUUUUUCCUUAUGUUUCGAUCGUAUUUGAGAUCAAGGAGACACAGGUGUUGGAACAUUUUCAUGUUCCAUUGCUGCUCUCUCCAUAUUCUUUCAGCACCUACCGGGGGAGCUAGGACUUCUCCAUCCCUUGCAUUUAGAUUUCAAGUUUUCUCUCUCCCUCUCUGGUCUUGCAUCAACUAGAGUUGAAAAUGCCCCAUUUCACCUUCACUAAUCUCUCUCUCUCUGGACUUGAAUGCAACUAGCGGCAUAAGUUUCUGAUUUCAGCUUGACCGCUGUGUGUGUGUGUGUGAAGCUGUGAUGGGGUUGUGGCUUACCUGUAAACUUGGGCUGGAGGCCCCAAAUUAUACAAGGAGUUUGAUAGCUAAGGACAGGUCUCAAUUGUUCUUUUGAAGUCAAGUGAGAGCCUUUUCAACUGAAAGGACUGUAUUUUGUUUCUCUCUAAAUUAGGUUCCUAUUUCAUGGUUUGUAUGCUAUAAGAACCUUUAUCUUUACCUCAGAAUGGUUGCAAUUAUCCCUGGUUAUCAAUUGCAAAAGUGCGGGGCGCAUAAUUUCCGUGCACAAAGCUUGGGGAUAUGUUACACUUUUCAGGCCCCGUCAAUGAUAACAGCCUCGGCCAAUGUUCGAAAAUUUGGCGAGUCCGGCUGCAGCCAAAAUCCCGAGGCGGGGCCUAGGGCGUUCUUGCUCUUAGGCACCCACCUCGGCGUAGGCAGUAGACUCAAGGCGGUCGUCUUGGAACAACUUGGCUGAGGGCAGAGAAAGGUCCCUUGGGCAAGGGUCCCUUUCCCCUCCCCUCCCUUAUCAAUCACUGAUUUUGGCUGCACUAACGGAAAUUGUGGGCUAUUGGCGAACA